GAUGAACGCCGGCGGUGUGCCUAAUACAUGCAAGUCGAGCGCACUGGCCCAACUGAUAUGACGUGCUUGCACUGAAUUGACGUUGGAUUACCAGUGAGCGGCGGACGGGUGAGUAACACGUGGGCAACCUGCCCUGAAGCGGGGGAUAACAUCUGGAAACAGGUGCUAAUACCGCAUAACAACGAAAACCACAUGGUUUUCGUUUCAAAGAUGGUUUCGGCUAUCACUUCAGGAUGGGCCCGCGGUGCAUUAGCUAGUUGGUAAGGUAACGGCUUACCAAGGCAAUGAUGCAUAGCCGAGUUGAGAGACUGAUCGGCCACAAUGGAACUGAGACACGGUCCAUACUCCUACGGGGGGCAGCAGUAGGGAAUCUUCCACAAUGGGCGCAAGCCUGAUGGAGCAACACCGCGUGAGUGAAGAAGGGUUUCGGCUCGUAAAGCUCUGUUGUUGGAGAAGAACGUGCGUGAGAGUAACUGUUCACGCAGUGACGGUAUCCAACCAGAAAGUCACGGCUAACUACGUGCCAGCAGCCGCGGUAAUACGUAGGUGGCAAGCGUUAUCCGGAUUUAUUGGGCGUAAAGCGAGCGCAGGCGGUUGCUUAGGUCUGAUGUGAAAGCCUUCGGCUUAACCGAAGAAGGGCAUCGGAAACCGGGCGACUUGAGUGCAGAAGAGGACAGUGGAACUCCAUGUGUAGCGGUGGAAUGCGUAGAUAUAUGGAAGAACACCAGUGGCGAAGGCGGCUGUCUGGUCUGCAACUGACGCUGAGGCUCGAAAGCAUGGGUAGCGAACAGG
This 792-nucleotide ribosomal RNA is filed under the name uncultured Lactobacillus sp. RNAcentral describes it as "bacterial SSU rRNA". It matches the Rfam family "Bacterial small subunit ribosomal RNA", at positions 28 to 776 of the family's 1533-position model. The record is from RNAcentral. Lineage: Bacteria; Bacillati; Bacillota; Bacilli; Lactobacillales; Lactobacillaceae.